AUGUAGCUCAGUGGGUAGAGUGCUUGCCUUGCAUGCAUGAAGCUCUGAGUUUGAUUCUCAGUACAUA
This 67-nucleotide transfer RNA is filed under the name Neotoma lepida (desert woodrat). It matches the Rfam family "tRNA". Rfam says of the family: Transfer RNA (tRNA) molecules are approximately 80 nucleotides in length. Their secondary structure includes four short double-helical elements and three loops (D, anti-codon, and T loops). Lineage: Eukaryota; Metazoa; Chordata; Mammalia; Rodentia; Cricetidae. The record is from Rfam by way of RNAcentral.